Molecule: ribosomal RNA, 408 nt
Filed under: uncultured Nitrososphaerota archaeon
Lineage: Archaea; Thermoproteati; Nitrososphaerota
Description: bacterial SSU rRNA
Rfam family: Archaeal small subunit ribosomal RNA
Source: RNAcentral
CUGGUGUCAGCCGCCCCUUUAAACCAGCACCCCGAGUGGUCGGGACGAUUAUUGGGCCUAAAGCAUCCGUAGCCGGCCUUACAAGUCCCCCGUUAAAUCCAGCUGCUUAACAGAUGGGCUGCGGAGGAUACUAUAAGACUAGGAGGCAGGAGAGGCAAGCGGUACUCAGUGGGUAGGGGUAAAAUCCGUUGAGCCAUUGAAGACCACCAGUGGCGAAGGCGGCUUGCCAGAAUGCGCUCGACGGUGAGGGAUGAAAGCUGGGGGAGCAAACCGGAUUAGAUACCCGGGUAGUCCCAGCUGUAAACGAUGCAGACUCGGUGAUGGACUAGCUUUAUGCUGGUCCAGUGCCGCAGGGAAGCCGUUAAGUCUGCCGCCUGGGUAGUACGGUCGCAAGACUGAAACUUAAAG